GCAGCCUUCCUUUUCCGCAUUCUCUUCCUCUCAUGUAGCCUCUCUUCUUCCCCAUAGUGGGACCGCAUCUCUGCGUCUUUAGGUUUCAGAUUAUAUGGUGACCUCACUCAAUUGGAAUAAUCAUGAGAAGGAUGUACUACUUACCGUUCUCGAGAAGAUGGUUGCUGAUGGUGUUAAGUGUGAGACUGGCAGUUUUAGGGCUGGUACUUUUGUAACGAUUGCCUCCAAGAUGCGAGAAAAUAUUCCUAGCAUUUUUAUAGAGGCGAAACAUAUACAAAAUAAAGUGAAGCAUCAUAAAUAAAAGUAUUCCUCUGCAUAUGACAUGAUGAAUACCUCUGGAUUUGGCUGUGAUGAUGAGAAAAAAAUGUGUUGUUGUGGAUAAUUUUGAAAUACUACAAAAUUGGUUGAAGGUA
Pyrus x bretschneideri (Chinese white pear) is the source of this 413-nucleotide long non-coding RNA. RefSeq lists it as uncharacterized. The transcript has 2 exons. The record is from RefSeq and is a predicted model, not a curated record. NCBI's taxonomy places the organism in Eukaryota, Viridiplantae, Streptophyta, Magnoliopsida, Rosales, Rosaceae.